This is a long non-coding RNA of Cyprinus carpio carpio, 5296 nucleotides long. The record is from Ensembl. NCBI's taxonomy places the organism in Eukaryota, Metazoa, Chordata, Actinopteri, Cypriniformes, Cyprinidae.
CAGUCCUCAAGCACAAAGAUCUGGACCCCACUGACUUUCAUUGUAUGGACAAAAGCUCUUCGAAAUAUCUUCUUUUGUGUUCCACUGAAGAAACAAAGUCAGGUUUGGAACUACAUGAAGAUGAACUAUGAACAAUUACUUUAAUUACAUUAUUUCUCCACUAAUUUUACCCUGGAUACCUGAUCUUUGCCUGAAAUCUCAUGAUCUCAGAUUCAUUUCUGCACAUGGCACAUCAGGGAAAAUCUCACAGAGAGCUCACAUUCAUCACAACUCGAGCACAUCCUGCCUGGAGUCCGUUUCAGGAAAGAGUGGGUCACCGCAGCAUUAUGUAAUGGGCUCUUUGCUGUCAUGGCAACGCUGUGGGAACUGGAACUGUGUAUUCGUGUGGCAGGAGGCUAUGGCGUGUGUUGACAGAAUGUUCCUCACGUUGGGUUCCUGGAUGGGCCAGGCUAUAAACACUCAGUCAAGGAGUUCCCUCUCUUCUACAGUUCGGGUUUGGAGUUCUGCGCAGGCAAAGGCAGUCUGAAGUUUCCAUCCUUCAGCUUGGAGCAGCACUUUCCUGAACUCCUGCCAGGAAAAUGUGUGUUGGCUUGGCAGCUCGACUGUGGGAAGACUAUGGGCAAAAACUGAUGGAGUUUUGCGGCAAUGGCUUUAUAUAGCCUUACAGCUCCUCGGGACUCCCUCUUUGGUGUAGACAUAGCGAUAGAGGUAUCAGUAGUAGCAAGAGCUGCGAUUACAGGAACAUAAUGAGUGAAAAUCAGAGACGCCACAAUUUAAACAGAAAAUGGCUUAGUAAUAUGUGCGUAUUAUGUUUUAAAAUUACCCCACUGCAUAUAAACUGUAAAUUCUAUCGAGAUUUUUUUAUUUUUUGGUGAUCCACUCAUGUGAGUCCACUUACAUGAGUUUGACCCCUGGGACCAGUGGUCUGUUACCUCCAGAUAAAGCUUUAAUUUCAUGUUCAGCUGCACAAAGAAAACAAAUGCUAUUCCCCGGUCUCUGCUAAUUACUGCUGUCCCAUUUCAGGAAGAAGUUUGUCCCCCUCCUCCUGUUUUCUCUGUUAUCUACUGUACACGACUUCCUGCAUGAGCACUGAAGCAGGCCGAUCCACUCAGAGAGAGAGAAACAGAGAGAGGUUCGGUGAGAGAGACCCUCACAUUAUGAAUGAGAUAAAUUCAUAAGCCGAUAUGCUUUUAUUAAGUCAUUAUACUAAAGAAGUUAUUAAAUUAUUAUCUGGAAAAUAUUAGCUUUUUUAGUUGAUAUUGUUUGCACAAUAUUAUAAUCUUAUAGAUAUCAACCUAUUUAAAAUAGAUUUAGUUUAUUAUUUAUUACUGUUAAAUGCUAGGACUGUCAUUAAAAUAAAGUAAUUGUCAUAAAAUAUUUACUUUAUUACGUUGACAUUGCAUUAUAAGAAUUUUAAAUGUAUAUACUGUCACUAAUGUCAUGAUUUCUUCAAAAGUUUUUCAAAAGCAGAACAAACGGUAAUAUAUAAUUUGUUACAUAUGUAAAAGAAUAAUAAUAAUAAUAAUUAUAACAUAUUUAAUACAUUUUUAAGGUAACUUUGUAUUUUAAGAUUUUAUAUAUAUAUAUAUAUAUAAUAUUUUAUUUUUUUCCUGAAAUUUUCCAUGUACCCUCAAGCAUCUCCAGACCCCAGUUUGAAAACCCCCUGAUACAUACAUUACUGGAAUUUUAUAUAUAUAUAUAUAUAUAUAUAUAUAUAUAUAUAUAUAUACAGUACUUUAUAUUUUGUGAUGUCCAAAGCAUCUGUUCUUAUAACAACACCACAGUAUUCCUAGAAAUGUUAAUCAUUCUACAACAAAUGGAGACCAGAUCCAAAAAACAGAACACCUAAAAAUUUGCAUUUCCAAAUGAAUCACGAAUGAAUGAAUGAAUGACCGUCUUAUGUCUGUCUUGGAAACAAAACCAGUGUCACCACAGUGCUCAGAGUCUUCUUAACAGGUUACAGAUGCAUUAGAGGACUUUCUGGCUUGCGUUUGAAUCGACAUUGGUCACAGGACAUACUUCCUCUGGGAUAUUCAUGAGAAUGAAAUCGAAAGUAUAGUGGCCACCUUUAAACACGUACAGUGUAAUGAUGCCAUAGCAACUGAACCCUCCCUUUUCUCCACAGUAUGAUGAGCAAACAACUGUGGGCUGAACAACCAAUCUAUCAUAGAUUCACUCAGCCAUACCCCUGCUGGAUGGCAGCACAUCCGACCGGAGACGUCUGCAAGCAAAUGAUGAGCAAAUACACAGAUAUUUGGCAACAGCUCUGAGAAACAUUUGUGUUUCAAAGGUGAUGUAUUAUGAAUCUGGGAAGAAACAUAAGCACUUUCAAACUUUGAAAAUUAACAUCAGUACAGAAAGCUGGCAAUGUACCAGUCCCUUUAAGGCAAAUCAGUUACCAUCAGUUAAGGCAAUAGACGUAAAAGUGUAAUUUUUUCUACGUUAAGUCUUAAAAAUGUCAUAAAUAUCAUAAUAUCAUCAUGUCAGCAUCAUAAAUGUAGCUCACAUCAUACUAAAAUAGUGUAUUUUAAAAUAGUGUAUCAGGCUAGCAGUUAAAGCUAAAGCUCAUCCUUUAAAAAGAUCAUUGGCUCUUUAACUAAAAGGCGAGGCUUCCAUUCUUACAGCUACUAUAUUUGUUGUAAUUUUCCCAUUCAUUUUUCUACGAGAGGUCCAUCUCCUCCUUUACAGUGUCUCUGAUCAAGCUAGGAUCCUGAAGUACCCUAAAAACUCCUUACAUGGUUUGGGUGAAAGCUUUAACUCUGCUGAGCUGCUGAUAUGGACAUGCUCCUGCCGUCACUGCAGGAAAAAAAAAAAACCUGAGGACUGUGUGUUUAUAAUUCCAUGGCUGAAAGUCCCUACGGACCUUCAUGUUUUGCUUGCAGAUUUCCCCAUCAAGUUUAAGAGCUCUGGAGACAUUUGGCUAAAAUAAGACUACAACUUAAAAGGUGGAGGGACUUGCAGCGAUCACGCUUUUUUCCAUUAAUUCUUUGAAUAUAUGAAAAUAUGUAGCUUUGCAUAUCCCCAUUAUCUGACUAAUUAAAAUCCUAUAUCAGCCUGAAUAGGACACACACAGUUUAACCCUUUAACAGUAUUUAGUGUCAAAUGACUGUGUAAUCUUUUCAAUUGAAGUUCAUUUUUACAACACGUUUCAGUUAAUUAGGUGCACUGAAAGGUAUUUUUAGCCUUCAUAAGGAGGCAGCCUGAGGCAUGUGCUUCCAUGCCUUUGUACAAGCGGAUGUGAUUUUCUAUUAACUUGUUAAAACACAGCAGUGCCAUUUUAACUACCUGUCCACAACACCUGCAAGCAUUUCCACAACCCAAAUAUGGUCACUGCCAUACUUGGUGUCUACAUAAUGUCAUUAAGCACAUUUGAGCGCAUUACAUUUCAUUGUGCAAUACAAAGGUACACUGUAAUAAAAGUUUUUUUGGGGGGUAACCUAAAAAUAUGCUCCAUAUGGUAACACCUAUGAAACAUUUAUUCAAUAAUAAACCAGUUAAUUAAGAUAUUAAAAAAUAACCUUUAUUUUUAAUUUUUAUUUAUAAUUAAUUAUAAUUUUUAUAAUGACCAAAUAAAUAAAUAUAUAUGAUUAUUUAUUUAAUAAUUUUUUUAAUUAAUUAAUAUUAUUCAUAUCAGUAUUGUCUAUAUACAGUAUAUAUGUGUGUGUGUGUGUGUGUGUGUGUGUGUGUGUGUGUGUGUGUGUGUGUGUGUGUGAGUGUGAGUGUGUGUGUGUGUGACCAAAUUACAAUUACCAUUUAUCUUCAUCACAGUAGCACAUGUGUACAUAAAAGUAUCAUAAAAGAUGUGACUCAUGCCCUAUUGUCUUCUAAAAUGUUUUGUGUAAUAGACAUAGAAAAGAGCAUUACUAGGCUAAAGGACUUAGCAUUAGCAUGGCCUUUGGAUCGCAUUCAAAGACAUAUGCCAGUUUGAGAAUGAACUGCCAACUCCAAAACCUUUUUUAAACGUAGAUAAUAAGCUUUUGCAAGCCAAAAGAAGUAUUAAGAAGAUCACAUUCCUCAAGAUCUCCUGUUGAAAAGUCAGCUUCCUCAUGACCACGCCCUUUGUCUUUUGUCUCCAUGUUGUUUGCGCUGAUAUUGGGAUAGUGAAGAGCAGUGAUCUCUCACACAUCUGUUUUCAAAUACUCAUUACACCCUCAAUCAAGCGAGCAGGGUAAGCGCUGGUCUCAUUAUUGUGUGUUCAUGACCGGAGCUUCCUUUGAACUCCCUGGGACACUCCACCCACCCGUGCACACUCGUUUAAUCCAGGUCACAUUCAUGCUGCGGGAAGUGUGUGGUCCAAUAGCCGCAUAUUCGGUUUCACACACUGUUUUCCAUGAAAAGACAAAGGUUUGAUGACACUGAGCUUGGAAUUCAUCCUGCAGGGUUUACGGUGUCAAAUAGUACAGUGAAGGCCAUACAGUGUACUUAGCCCAGUUUUCCUUAUGUGCUGAUGUCUAUAAUGAUAGAUUGAUGGAUUUAGAGUACACACUCUGCAUAAAUGAGACAAUUAACCUCUCAUCGGGAUCCUAGAGUCUGUGUUUGUGGAGCAAGGUGGAAAGGAGGCAGCAGAGGCCUAAAAUAGCCUCAGCAGAACCGUUUCAACACUGUAGCUUGGAAGGAAAGAGAAGGAAAACUCUGUAUGAGCUGAUAGUGUGGUCAGAAAGAACUGGAGCACGAGAGAGGUGUAAUUAAAGACUUAAUUCAACUUGGGAAUUCCACUUUAGGGGAACCCUAGAUAAGAGUUUGCCUGUUUGACUGCUUUAGAGCCCAUUAGCAAUAUGCUAACAGCCCUCAACUCAUGAUGAAAAUCACUACAGAAAAAAAACAAAAACAAAAGGGCUUUUCUAUCUUAAAUUAUGUUCCCUUCAGCCUACACCCUUCUGGCACAGGAUCAGGGUGAAGUGUUCCUGUAAAACAUUGCUGUUGCUAAGUUUGGGGCUUCCCUCGCUAGCAUGGUUUUUAUCUAAUUCGGGUAGCACAUUCAAUAGUAGUACUCAUAUUCCAGUGUAAACAAGUCUGGAAAACUACUAGAGCAGUGGCGGUUGACACAGUGUUUGCUUUAGACCACAUGGCUACUCCGGCAUCCAUCAGGUGAGCGUUUUCAGUGUCACCUGGUUCAAAUGCCUCACAUUUAAACAUUGCUAACUGACAAAAAUGAUAAAGAAAGAUAUCAUUAUUUGAUGUGUGCACUGUUAGAAUCUAGCAAAUGCAUGUUUUAGGACUGUUUAUGUUUGGUGUUUAUAUAUACUCAACAAAAAUUUUCCUUCUGUAUAUAUAUAUAUAUAUAUAUAUAUAUAUA